GACGCACUGCCUGAAUUCAAUAAAAGCCGCUGGGAUGUGAAGAUGUAAGCAGUCAAUUUCAAGAUGAUUUCCGUUAUUGUUGUUUUUGCCAUUGUGACCGUGUUGAGUGGCCAAAUCGAAAGUGCAUAUCAAAAUACAUUUGAAGCAACCAAAGGAUGUCUAAAGUACAACAGCCAUCAGGGAUAUAACUUCACACAUCCUUACUUUUCAACUGGUGCAUACAGAAAUGUUCGAAGAGGUCCUAACAACGCCACAGAGUUCAGGUUUGGAAUACUUGGAGAUCACGACGGUAUUCUUAGAUUGGCCCCAGUGCAGAAUCCCUACGACAGGACUCUAAUGCAUGAGAUUGUUCUAUCUGGCUGGGCCGGUACUAAGACCGACGUACGUCGCUAUGUUCGAACGAGCCCUUCAGAAAUGAUCAACUAUUCAAUGUUUAAGAUUCAGUCCAGUUAUGGACUGUUAUCGCAGUUUGAUCCGUUGAUGUUUACCC
Long non-coding RNA from Culex pipiens pallens (northern house mosquito), 490 nucleotides. RefSeq lists it as uncharacterized. The record is from RefSeq and is a predicted model, not a curated record. Lineage: Eukaryota; Metazoa; Arthropoda; Insecta; Diptera; Culicidae. The transcript has 3 exons.